Molecule: ribosomal RNA, 273 nt
Filed under: uncultured bacterium
Lineage: Bacteria
Description: partial 16S ribosomal RNA
Rfam family: Bacterial small subunit ribosomal RNA
Source: RNAcentral
CCGCCGGCGACCGGCGCACGGGUGAGUAACACGUAUGCAACCUGGCCGUGACAGAUGGAUAACCGGGAGAAAUCCCGCCUAAUACAACAUAAUGCCGGGAGGGGACAUCCCCUGCCGGCCAAAGGGGGCGACCCCGGUCACGGAUGGGCAUGCGGCACAUUAGGUAGUUGGUGGGGCAACGGCCCACCAAGCCGACGAUGCGUAGGGGUUCUGAGAGGAAGGUCCCCCACAUUGGAACUGAGACACGGUCCAAACUCCUACGGGAGGCAGCAG